AGCCUGAACGCUGGCGGCGUGGCUAAGACAUGCAAGUCGUACGGAUGUAGCAAUACAUCAGUGGCGAACGGGUGAGUAAUGUAUCGCUAAUGUGCCCCGGAUUCUGGGAUAGCUAUCCGAAAGGGUAGGUAAUACCAGAUGAUAUAACUUUGUCGCAUGGCAGAGUUCUCAAAGGAGUAAUCCGCUCUGGGAGCAGGCGAUAUCGUAUCAGCUAGUUGGUGAGGUAACGGCUCACCAAGGCGACGACGCGUAGCCGGACUGAGAGGUUGGCCGGCCACAUUGGGACUGAGACACUGCCCAGACUCCUACGGGGGGCUGCAGUAACGAAUCUUCCGCAAUGCACGAAAGUGUGACGGAGCGACGCCGCGUGUGGGACGAAGCCCUUCGGGGUGUAAACCACUGUCAGGGGUUAGAAAGUUCUGAUCAACCCCAGAGGAAGGCACGGCUAACUCUGUGCCAGCAGCCGC
This 467-nucleotide ribosomal RNA is filed under the name uncultured bacterium. RNAcentral describes it as "SSU rRNA". It matches the Rfam family "Bacterial small subunit ribosomal RNA", at positions 26 to 518 of the family's 1533-position model. The record is from RNAcentral.